GAUGAACGCUGGCGGCGUGCUUAACACAUGCAAGUCGAACGAACUGAUAGGAGCUUGCUCCUUGAAGUUAGUGGCGAACGGGUGAGUAACACGUAGGUAACCUGCCCUUAAGACGAGGAUAACCAAGGGAAACUUUGGCUAAAACUGGAUAGGAACAUUGGAGGCAUCUCUGAUGUUUUAAAAGACCUAGCAAUAGGUAUGCUUAAGGAGGGGCCUGCGGCGCAUUAGUUAGUUGGUGAGGUGAAGGCUUACCAAGACGAUGAUGCGUAGCCGGACUGAGAGGUUGAACGGCCACAUUGGGACUGAGAAACGGCCCAAACUCCUACGGGUGGCAG
This 335-nucleotide ribosomal RNA is filed under the name uncultured Mycoplasmatota bacterium. RNAcentral's name for it is "bacterial SSU rRNA". It matches the Rfam family "Bacterial small subunit ribosomal RNA", at positions 28 to 351 of the family's 1533-position model. Lineage: Bacteria; Bacillati; Mycoplasmatota. The record is from RNAcentral.